Molecule: non-coding RNA, 1103 nt
Filed under: Trichoplusia ni (cabbage looper)
Lineage: Eukaryota; Metazoa; Arthropoda; Insecta; Lepidoptera; Noctuidae
Source: RNAcentral
UUUUUUUUUAUUAUUUAAAGAAAAAAUAUUAAAGAUGGCUUAAUUAAUUAAUUAAAUUAUUAAUUAAUUAAAUAUAAUUUAUAUAUAUAUAUAUAUAUAUUAAAUAUUUAAUAUAUUAAUAUUUAUAUUAAUACAUUAACUUAUUGAGAAAAUUAAGAUUAAUUAUAUUAAUUUAUUGUAAUUUUUAAGAAUAUUAAUUGUUGAAUUUCCAAUUAAGGUUUUAAUAUUAAUAUUUUAAAAAAAAAAAAAAAAAUUAAUAUUAAAAUUUUUAAAAAAAAAAAAAAAAAAAAAAAAAAAUUCUAUUUAUAAAAAUAUACAUAUAAAUAAAUUUUUUAUGGUUUAAAAAUUUUAUUAAUAAUUUAUUUUACAUAUAAAUUUUAGUGUUAUAAAUAACUUAUUUUAAAAAUAAUUUAUUUAUUUUUGUAGUAAUUAAUAUUAAAUAAUUUAAGAAAUUAAGAUUUAGUAAUAUUAAAAUUAAUAACAAAUUUUGUGCCAGCAGUUGCGGUUACACAAAGAUUAAAUUAAAUUUUAUUAGUAAUUAAUAAAUAAAUUGAUAAAUAAUAAAAAUUUUAAAUUAUUAGGUGAAAUUUUAAUUUAAUAAAAUAUUAUAGUAUUAAUUAUGAUUUAAUAAAUUUUAUAAAAAACUAGGAUUAGAUACCCUAUUAUUAAAAUUUAAAAUUAAAUUACUAAAAUAGUAAAUAAUUAUUUAUUGAAACUUAAAUAAUUUGGCGGUAUUUUAGUUCAUUUAGAGGAAUCUGUUUAAUAAUUGAUAAUCCACGAAUAAAUUUACUUAAUUUACAAUUUUGUAUAUCGUUGUUAAAAAAAUAUUUUUUAAUAAAAAUAAUAUUUAAAAAUUUUUAUAAUAAAUUAAAUCAGAUCAAGAUGCAGAUUAUAAUUAAGAAUAUAAUGGAUUACAAUAAAUUUAUUUAAAUGAAUAUUAAUUUGUAAAAAUUAAUUGAAAGUGGAUUUAAGUGUAAUUUUAUUUAAUUUAAUAAAAUGAUUAUAAAUUAAAAUAUGUACAUAUUGCCCGUCGCUUUCAUAUAUUAAUAAGUUGAAAUAAGUCGUAACAAAGUAGAGGUACUGGAAAGUGUUUCUAGAAAGAA